GUUUCUGUCUUCAAGAAGCUUACAUACUAUUGGGAGAAUGGGGUUUAGAUACAAUAUAUAAAUAGAUGAUUUCCACAGCUUUUUCUGAGAAACCCCAAGGUAAACCUUCAAAUACUGAAGAGAAAACAACUCUGAAAGAGAAUGGAAAUUAUCAGGGAAGUAAACCUAUUUUCUUUCCAGUUUCCUUUAAAAAUACAUUAUACAAUAUUAUACAGUAUAUUAUUAUAUACAUUAUAUUAUUAUUUAUUAUUAUAUUAUACAUGUAUAUUAUACAUUAUACAAUAUUAUGCAAGAAUCGUACAUAGUUCUGUGAGUUAAUAGUGUUGAAAACAAUGAAGUCAUAAAGGUCAAAGAUAUCAGGUAACAAACAUUUUUAAAAUUUAAGAAAAAAUAAUACUUCUUAUAGACAGUUUUUGUUUUUAUAUCACCUAAAUUUUCUUCUGAAUGCCUUUUCCCAGAAAAUUAUCCCUCAUUACAAAGAUUUUUUUUUUAGGGAAAAAAAAGGGAAAAAAACAGCAAAAUCAAUUAGUACAUGAAAAGAAAUCUGAUAUUAUAUGCAAUAUUUCUUAUUUAGGAACUCUCCUUCUCCACUUGUACAAAGAAGUGAAAAGAGCAUUAGCAAGGUGACAGUGUAUCUUCUCUACCAAGAAAAAACUGCAUUUUCUCCAAAGCCCAGAUAUCAUGAAAGUACUAGGCAGGAUUCUGGCUAUCUGAUCUGUGCAUUGUCACUGUAUUCGGGAGAAGAGACCGAGGUUGACGACUUUGCACAGCUCUGCCUCACUUAAAUCCAAUUCACUUAUAAGUCAAGACACCACCCACCUGAAGUCAUUGAUCCUUUUUGAGAAUGAAGGCCGAACAACUACCCCUUGUAAAGAGCACAGCUCAUCAUCGGGAUGAAUCAAAAUCAGUG
RNAcentral lists this long non-coding RNA (910 nucleotides) under Sarcophilus harrisii (Tasmanian devil). Its description in RNAcentral is "lncRNA (ENSSHAG00000027354.1)". Lineage: Eukaryota; Metazoa; Chordata; Mammalia; Dasyuromorphia; Dasyuridae. The record is from RNAcentral.